This 435-nucleotide ribosomal RNA is filed under the name Nacerdes katoi. RNAcentral's name for it is "partial 16S ribosomal RNA". The stretch from base 314 to 435 matches the Rfam family "Bacterial large subunit ribosomal RNA", at positions 2473 to 2595 of the family's 2925-position model. The record is from RNAcentral. Lineage: Eukaryota; Metazoa; Arthropoda; Insecta; Coleoptera; Oedemeridae.
CUGUGCAAAGGUAGCAUAAUCAUUAGUUUUUUAAUUGAAAGCUGGAAUGAAUGGUUUAAUAAGAAAAAUUCUGUCUCAUUUUUAAGUUUAAAAUUUUAUUUUUAAGUUAAAAAGCUUAAAUUUAUUAAAAAGACCAGAAGACCCUUUAGAGUUUUAUAAGAAAAAAUUGAUUAUUAUUUAGAUUUAAAUUUAAAAUUGGUUUUUAUUAUUUUAUUGGGGUGAUUUAAAAAUUUAAGUAACUUUUUAUUUAUUUUAUCAUUAAUUUAUGUAUAAAUGAUCUUGAUUUUUGGAUUAUAAGAAUAAUUACCUUAGGGAUAACAGCGUAAUUUUUUUUGAGAGUUCUUAUCGAAAAAGAAGUUUGCGACCUCGAUGUUGGAUUAAAAUUAAAUUUUGGCGUAGAAGUUAAAAAUUUAGGUCUGUUCGACCUUUAAAAUU